Molecule: non-coding RNA, 21 nt
Filed under: Caenorhabditis elegans
Lineage: Eukaryota; Metazoa; Nematoda; Chromadorea; Rhabditida; Rhabditidae
Source: RNAcentral
UCCUGAGUUUAAACAAUUUCA